UAAAGUUUUAUUGGAAUACAGUCUUACAC
This 29-nucleotide non-coding RNA is filed under the name Mus musculus (house mouse). Lineage: Eukaryota; Metazoa; Chordata; Mammalia; Rodentia; Muridae. RNAcentral also lists the same sequence under 1 other name. The record is from RNAcentral.